AACCUGGUCCCAGUCUACUGCUCCAGCCCUCUCUACUCUUGGCCAAGGCCUAUCAUUGCUCAUCUGUGCAAGUGCUAUUCAUUCUCACCAUCGUUUCUGGGUCUGAAGUUACAAUAAAGUGCUGGCAAAGUCUUGUUUAGAUGGCUGACAUUCCUCCCAGAAGGUGCAGGAAUUCAGAGGCUUGUAUGUAGAUUAAGUGAAACAACACUUUGUUUUGCUUUCUAGCUAAAAGUUGACCCUUCUUACUAAUGAGAGAAGAUCAACUGGUCAAGAAGAAUGGGCCGACUGACCUUUUGGCCAUUUUUUUCCUGAACCAUUUAGGGAGGUUUUGCCCCUUCUUUAGGAUUCUUAACAAGCUUCCCUCCACCAAGUCAAGUCAAUUCUUCUUGACUCACCUUCCUCCCUCCCGCCUCUGUUCCCUAUCUCCCCUCCACACCCUACCUGGGAUGAACCCAGCUUUGGGGGUGGGGCCUCCAGCAGUGCUUGGUGGAUGUGGCUUCUCCUCCCCGGUGCUAAUGCGGCCUGUUGACAGCACAGAGGGGGUCUUAGGUCCUGCCUCCUUCAUGGGAGAACCCUGGCAAGAUGGGAUUUCACCCACCCCGUCUAAGCCCUGCUUUGCCUCCUCUUCUUGGUCUGGGAUGGCUGAUUUAUUAGUGAAGAUUGAUCUCAGGUGAGUGUUAACUGUCAGCACCUGCACGGUCAAUGCACUCAGGCUGUCCUCCGCCUCAGCUCCUUUACGGUAAUGGGUAAUGCAUGUUUUGUUGCCACAUUGGUGGAUCCAUUCAGAGUUAUUUGUAUAUUUCCUGGUGAUACUAUUGGAUGAUGGAGAUCUUUGGGGGUGGAUGUGUGUGGGGAAGGAAUGUGCGGGUGGGUUAUUACACUAAAUACUCAUCUCCAACUCUCAGAACAAACCACAUCCAAAUCUCCAAAUUCUGAAUCCUUGUGCUCCUGCCAGAGCUGGACUGUCUCCCUUAUCCUUUGUCUGUGCCUGCAGGGCCUCGGUCCAUGUGUUCUCCUCUGAUCUUUCCUACGUCUGAGGGAUUGUUGUUGAACCCUUAUUUUGCUUUUUGGUUUAUUCAGGGUAGGCUAAUUAUUCAAACAAACAAAACAAAAUCUGAGCAGCUUAAAACGCUGGUAAUGUGAUUCUUGCUCACAUCACAGUCCACGUAGGUUGGGCAGCAUCUUCCCAGAAGACGACCCAGGAAUGAAGCACUUUCCAUCAUGGCAGAGCCAUCUUCAGUCUGUGGCCUCUGAGGGCACCACGGAAGGGCAAGGAGAGUCUAGGAUCUCACCGGCAUGUUUCAGGGGCCAGGUCCGAGAGGAGCACACCAAGUUUCUGAGCAUGUUCCCUUCGCCAGGAAUCAGUCACCUGGCCCUAUUUACCUACUGGGGACACCAGGACAUGUGGCUGAGCUACCUGGCCAGCAGGAAAAGGAACCCACUUGAGGGAGGUCGUGGUCCUUCAUGGAAAAAUCAGACCUAUAUGGAACAAACACUGAGGAUCUCUUUUGGCCAUGAGGGGGCAGAAUGGACAUUGCCUGGGCACUGAAGAGGUUCGGUUGUGCUCUCUGAUGUGUGACGCUGUGCUUCCUUGGUCUGUCAACCUUUUGGGGACAGGUUAACCCUUUAAUUCAUUCAUCCCUGAACUCUAUUCUGGGUUUACUUAUUAUGGAGCAGGAUCAUAAAGAAGUGUGCAACCUGGGACUUGUGAGUCUGAAUCAUUCCUGAUAAGUUAGAAAGGAAUGAAUGAGAAAGUAGAAACA
RNAcentral lists this long non-coding RNA (1763 nucleotides) under Equus caballus (horse). RNAcentral describes it as "lncRNA (ENSECAG00000046920.1)". Lineage: Eukaryota; Metazoa; Chordata; Mammalia; Perissodactyla; Equidae. The record is from RNAcentral.